AAAAAUAAGAUGAAUUAUAACAAUAUAAGAUGGACUAAGAUGUAGUAAGAUGUACUAUUAGAACUUGUACCACUAUUUUUAAAUCGAUACGAAAUAACUUAGAGCAAUAUACAAAAUUCACUGCUGAUUUUGUUUUUCCUAAAAUUUAGCUAGUGACUUGGCGUUUUAUGAAAUAUUCGAAUUCAAUGCAUAUGCUAAAUUAAUUGUAUCAAACAUAAUUACACAACUUGCGUAUGAACAUGAUUAAGUAUAUACAUAUACAAUAAUAAUUACUCAUUUUAACGGCAGAUUAAAUGAACAGUCUAAACUACGUAAUCGCUUUUCUCCUUCCCUCCCUCCCAAUCAGUUAAGCAUUCACAUAAUAUACAUUUACAACUGUACCAUGUUGGUAACUUUUACUGAAAUAAAU
Mycetomoellerius zeteki is the source of this 409-nucleotide long non-coding RNA. RefSeq lists it as uncharacterized. Lineage: Eukaryota; Metazoa; Arthropoda; Insecta; Hymenoptera; Formicidae. The record is from RefSeq and is a predicted model, not a curated record. The transcript is spliced from 3 exons.